This 399-nucleotide ribosomal RNA is filed under the name uncultured bacterium. RNAcentral's name for it is "partial 16S ribosomal RNA". It matches the Rfam family "Bacterial small subunit ribosomal RNA", at positions 360 to 774 of the family's 1533-position model. The record is from RNAcentral.
AAUAUUGCACAAUGGAGGGAACUCUGAUGCAGCAACGCCGCGUGAGUGAAGAAGGUUUUCGGAUCGUAAAACUCUGUCAUUGGGGAAGAAUAAAUGACGGUACACAAUGAGGAAGCCCCGGCUAACUACGUGCCAGCAGCCGCGGUAAUACGUAGGGGGCGAGCGUUGUCCGGAAUUACUGGGCGUAAAGGGUACGUAGGCGGCUAUAUAAGUCAGGUGUGAAAUACCAGUGCUUAACACUGGAAUUGCAUUUGAAACUGAAGGGCUUGAGUGUCGGAGAGGGUAGUGGAAUUCCCGGAGUAGCGGUGAAAUGCGUAGAUAUCGGGAGGAACACCAGUGGCGAAGGCGGCUUUCUGGACUGUAACUGACGCUGAGGUACGAAAGCGUGGGUAGCGAACA